UGUCCAGCAAUAAUCACUAAGUAUACUAAAGUAGCUAAAGACAUAAGGUCUGAAUGUGAGAAGAGCAGCGUUGUCAUAAGGGCGAAGCGGUGUGAGGGAGGCCAGUCCUCUGCAGGUAAUCACAGUCCAGUGAGUAACUGAAGGUCACCUUUGUUCAGCAUAAGAAAUAAAAUUCUCUGUUCCUUUCA
This is a long non-coding RNA of Suricata suricatta (meerkat), 188 nucleotides long. RefSeq lists it as uncharacterized. The record is from RefSeq and is a predicted model, not a curated record. NCBI's taxonomy places the organism in Eukaryota, Metazoa, Chordata, Mammalia, Carnivora, Herpestidae. The transcript has 2 exons.